Caretta caretta (loggerhead turtle) is the source of this 720-nucleotide long non-coding RNA. RefSeq lists it as uncharacterized. The record is from RefSeq and is a predicted model, not a curated record. NCBI's taxonomy places the organism in Eukaryota, Metazoa, Chordata, Testudines, Cheloniidae.
UUUUUGGCGUUUUCUUACAAAUAAAAAAAAAAAUGGAGUGAAGAAAACAAUGCUGCGGAGUUGAGCUGCCCCAGACUUUCUCACGGGGAAGGGAGAGAAGGGGCUGGCUCCUUUGGCUGCAUUGUCCGUGCCUUUCUCCUGCGACUUUCCGUCCUGCAGCCCCGGGGGGACGAGAUGUCCCCGAGCCCUGUUUCUGGUGGGGGGAGGCAUCAGCCUUAGGCGCUGUGCUUUCCGCUUGCUGUCCUAACAUUGCAGCGUAAAUGCCACCAGGGGCCAGAGCGUGUGGACCCAACGUGCCAAAGUGUGCAAGGCACUUCACAUGAGACUUCGUCCCUGCCUGAGACAGUUUACAGUCUGAAUUUCAGACAUGACACAAGAGCAGGCUGCUAACUUGAAGCAAGACUUCUGCAUGUCUGCUCUUCCCUGGGCAAGGGUGUGCAGCCCCGUCACAUCCCCCACUAAGUUUCCAUAUAUGUGUCAGUUAUAGAUAAGGAGGGAUUCAAAGACACCAAUGAGAGGGGCGAGGCCAUUGUCCACCACCACAUCAUGGAUCAGAGGAAUGGAGAUCGUAAUCCAGCAGCAGCCCGAGGAACAUUAGUGUGUAUUUUUACCCUUUCUGGUGUAUUUGCAUGAAAUCUUGUACCCUAAUGAGGCUCUUGGAUUGAUUUCCCUUUUAAGACCUUGUGGGAAAUGGUUAUAGCGAGCAUUUCAUUUUUUGUA